This 548-nucleotide ribosomal RNA is filed under the name uncultured bacterium. Its description in RNAcentral is "bacterial SSU rRNA". It matches the Rfam family "Bacterial small subunit ribosomal RNA", at positions 345 to 879 of the family's 1533-position model. The record is from RNAcentral.
GAGGCAGCAGUAGGGAAUCUUCCACAAUGGGCGAAAGCCUGAUGGAGCAACGCCGCGUGAGUGAUGAAGGCCUUCGGGUUGUAAAACUCUGUCAUUCGGGACGAACCGGAGUCUGAGGAAAUGCAGACUCUCUGACGGUACCGGAGGAGGAAGCCCCGGCUAACUACGUGCCAGCAGCCGCGGUAAUACGUAGGGGGCAAGCGUUGUCCGGAUUCACUGGGCGUAAAGCGCGCGCAGGCGGUGAUGUAAGUCUGAGGUGAAAACCCGAAGCUCAACUUCGGGACUGCCUUGGAUACUGCGUCACUUGAGGAUAGGAGAGGCAAGGGGAAUUCCACGUGUAGCGGUGAAAUGCGUAGAGAUGUGGAGGAACACCUGUGGCGAAGGCGCCUUGCUGGCCUAUUUCUGACGCUGAGGCGCGAAAGCGUGGGGAGCAAACAGGAUUAGAUACCCUGGUAGUCCACGCUGUAAACGACUGAGUGUCUACGGUGUAGGUGGGCUCAUACCCAUCUGUGCCGAAGCUAAUCGCAUUAAUGCACUCCGCCUGGGGA